Molecule: ribosomal RNA, 468 nt
Filed under: uncultured bacterium
Lineage: Bacteria
Description: partial 16S ribosomal RNA
Rfam family: Bacterial small subunit ribosomal RNA
Source: RNAcentral
GACGAACGCUGGCGGCGUGCUUAACACAUGCAAGUCGAACGGAAAGGCCCUGCUUUUGUGGGGUGCUCGAGUGGCGAACGGGUGAGUAACACGUGAGUAACCUGCCCUGGACUUUGGGAUAACUUCAGGAAACUGGGGCUAAUACCGGAUAGGAGCUCCUGCUGCAUGGUGGGGGUUGGAAAGUUUCGGCGGUUGGGGAUGGACUCGCGGCUUAUCAGCUUGUUGGUGGGGUAGUGGCUUACCAAGGCUUUGACGGGUAGCCGGCCUGAGAGGGUGACCGGCCACAUUGGGACUGAGAUACGGCCCAGACUCCUACGGGAGGCAGCAGUGGGGAAUAUUGCACAAUGGGCGGAAGCCUGAUGCAGCAACGCCUCGUGCGGGAUGACGGCCUUCGGGUUGUAAACCGCUUUCGCCUGUGACGAAGCGUGAGUGACGGUAAUGGGUAAAGAAGCACCGGCUAACUACGUG